This is a long non-coding RNA of Triticum aestivum (bread wheat), 1669 nucleotides long. RefSeq lists it as uncharacterized. The transcript has 5 exons. Lineage: Eukaryota; Viridiplantae; Streptophyta; Magnoliopsida; Poales; Poaceae. The record is from RefSeq and is a predicted model, not a curated record.
UACCCUCUGCUCUCUCGCGACCACGCCCUCAGGGCAGUUUUCCAUUGCCCAGCGCCCCACACUUCGCCCCACCUCUUCCCUCCCCGCCAGCCACCGCCUGCCUCCAUCUGCAUGCGCCGCCGGACCGCCGCGUCCACGCGUAGCCCGGACUGCCGCCCACGCUCCAGGCGCCCGGUCCGCCACGCCCACGCUUGAGGCGCCCGGGCCGCCCCGUCCACACUCUAGGCGGAUCGCGGCACCCACGCUCGAGGCUCCCGGGCCGCCCCGUCCAUGCUCCAGGCGGACCACGACGCCAUAGCUCCAGGCGCCCGGACCGCCACGCUCACGCUCCAGCCGCUCGGGCCGCCGCGUCCACGCACUGCCCGGACACAGGCACCGGCGCACCGCCGGUCCUCCACACUGCAGGAUGAGCAAGAGUAAUCCAGAUAAAGUUCCAGGAACGACUACGCAUCGUUCCCCAUUUAAAGACAUAACGAACUCGUCUAUGAUUGAGAAUGCAAAUGUCACUACUAAUAGUCAAGAAGCAAAAAAGAAUACAUUGUAUGCCCGAAUGUCUGAUGAGAAGAGAGCAGCAUUCCUUGAAAAACGUCGUAUGUCCCGACAAGAAAAGAAGUCUCAGGCUCUGAAUAUUGUUAAUGGUCAACUAACAGUUGAGGCACAUGCUCCGUUAGGAUCCAAGGAAUGUACAUCUUUGAGAAGCAUAACCAACACACACACAAAUGGUAUGUUCAUACUCUGCAUAUCAUAAUUAUUGAAUGACCAUUUACUCAUUUUGCUAGGAGGUUUGUCUCCUGCGUUGUGUCAGAUGCAACAUGUACUGAAGCCGCAGGACGCCCUUGAACAGCGGGAUCUGCCGCCUCCCUUGGACUUCGCCGGCAAGGCGUGAUCCGUCGUCGCCACCCCACUCUUCCCACGGGAGGAUGCGGCUGCUAUCAUCAACCUCCGCUCCAUGGGCGUACUCUCAAAUUCAAUAUGUUAGAUUUGCAGAGACUAAUGUUGCAUGACGCAAGAAGAAACAUGUGGUUCUGUUGCGAAUCACCACAGCGAUGCAGUAGGUUUCCAGAUUGAUGCUAUUGUUACUGCACAUGAGGGAAUACAUGGUUAUUAUUUUGACCAUAUCGGUGCCAUGGAAGCUGGAGAAUUUUUAUCUACUAUACUUGUUCGUUGCCUGCAUCAUAUUGCAGUUCCAAAGUCCACAUAAGGAAGUUUAAAUAAUACAUAAUUCAUUGGCGUGUACUCUGUCAUAGGAUGUUGCUUUACAUUUUGGGCGCACCAUGUUUUAACUGAGAAGGCAGUUGUUGGUACAGUUAGAGUUCAAAGAGGUCCUCCAACGAGGGUGUGUCAAAACUCAACUAGGCGCUUCGGUGUCAACUGUAAAGGUUGGAGGUAGAAUCAGCUUCAAUCUCGAGUACCCAAUUGUAGAGAAGACGAAAGGAGGCACAACAUAUAUGGAAGUACGAACUCUGGCAGUAACAAUUUUAUGUUUCCAAGUUAGGUUGAUGAUAUUCAACUUAAUAGAACCCAAACUUUUGUUGUUGAGUUCAAUAUACAGUGUCCCGUGUAUAGUUUUUAAGGUGUCAUGUUUCUCAAGAGAAUACAUCUGCACGUAAGGAACUAGCUACCGGUAUCAAUCUAAAUGAACAAGCUCAUAAGCAGGCUUUGCUUUUGA